GACAGAUCGCUAUUUGAAUUUCCUGAGUGAGCCGCUGCCUGACGUUGAGCUGUUGCGCACUACAGAGGGCGGUGCUGCCUGCCCCCGUCUCCGUCUUAGAUCGUGAUCAGAGCAGCCCAGCUUUUUUGUUUUUUGUCAUCAUCCCUGCACCCUGAUUUGGAAUGCCGUGGAAACGCCACAUAGGAGAAAAAGACAAUAGAUUUUGGCGUUUUAAGCUCUAAACAAAAAACUGCGACUCCUUCACAAUGUCAGAUUACCUUGUGGGAGUAGCUGGACCAAACUCUAUUGGUAUUUCAAGUUUGAAAUCCCUGUUUGACCAGACAAACAUUUCAGAUGAGGUAAUAGAUGGCCUAAUCUAUUUGCAGUGUGAGAAAAGCAUCUUUCAGAUGUAUGAGAAAUUGAUUGGAGCCUGUCUGGAAAACGGCAGCCACUGGACCUUGUUUGGUCGCGGGGGGCGCUGGAGCCUAUCCCAGCUGUCAUGGGGCGAGAGGCGGGGUACACCCUGGACAGGUCGCCAGUCUGUCGCAGGGCCAACACACAAGGACAGACAACCAUUCACACUCACAUUCGCUCGCACAUUCACACCUAGUGGCAAUUUGGUUUAUCCAAUUAACCUAUCCCCACAAGUUGCAUGUCUUUGGACGGUGGGAGGAAGCCGGAGUACCCGGAGAGAACCCACGCAAACACGGGGAGAACAUGCAAACUCCACACAGAAAGACCCCGGCCUGAUGUUGGAAUUGAACUCAGGACCUUCUUGCUGUGCGGCAACAGUGCUAACCACCGUGCCACCGUGCUGCCCCCACCAACCGCAUAUUUAACAUAACAUAUUUAAUUUAAUUGAAAUCAUUACCGAACGUGGUUAUUGAUUUCUCUAUAUGCUUUUUAUUUGUAAUAACUGCGAUCUCUCAG
Long non-coding RNA from Oreochromis aureus, 909 nucleotides. The record is from Ensembl. NCBI's taxonomy places the organism in Eukaryota, Metazoa, Chordata, Actinopteri, Cichliformes, Cichlidae.